UGAGGGAUAUUGCACAAUGGGCGCAAGCCUGAUGCAGCGACGCCGCGUGAGUGAAGAAGGCCUUCGGGUCGUAAAACUCUUUUGCCGAUGACGAGGAAGGACGGUAGUCGGCGAAUAAGCCUCGGCUAACUACGUGCCAGCAGCCGCGGUAAAACGUAGGAGGCGAGCGUUAUCCGGAGUUACUGGGCGUAAAGCGUGUGCAGGCGGUUGCGUAAGUGGCUUGUGAAAGCCCUCGGCUAAACUGAGGGAGGACAGGUCAGACUGCGUAACUGGAAUCGGACAGAGGGCUGUGGAAUUCCGGGUGUAGCGGUGAAAUGUGCAGAGAUCCGGAGGAACACCAGAGGUGAAAACGGCGGCCUGGGUUCAGAUUGACGCUGAGACACGAAAGCGUGGGGAGCGA
This 400-nucleotide ribosomal RNA is filed under the name uncultured bacterium. RNAcentral describes it as "bacterial SSU rRNA". It matches the Rfam family "Bacterial small subunit ribosomal RNA", at positions 355 to 771 of the family's 1533-position model. The record is from RNAcentral.